Molecule: ribosomal RNA, 254 nt
Filed under: uncultured bacterium
Lineage: Bacteria
Description: partial 16S ribosomal RNA
Rfam family: Bacterial small subunit ribosomal RNA
Source: RNAcentral
UACGAGGGGGGCGAGCGUUGUUCGGAAUUACUGGGCGUAAAGGGCGCGUAGGCGGCAUGACAAGUCACUUGUGAAAUCUCCGGGCUUAACUCGGAACGGCCAAGUGAUACUGUCAAGCUAGAGUGCAGAAAGGGCAAUCGGAAUUCUUGGUGUAGCGGUGAAAUGCGUAGAUAUCAAGAGGAACACCUGAGGCGAAGGCGGGUUGCUAGGCUGACACUGACGCUGACAGCGCGAAAGCCAGGGGAGCAAACGGG